Long non-coding RNA from Cyprinodon tularosa, 609 nucleotides. RefSeq lists it as uncharacterized. The transcript is spliced from 3 exons. The record is from RefSeq and is a predicted model, not a curated record. NCBI's taxonomy places the organism in Eukaryota, Metazoa, Chordata, Actinopteri, Cyprinodontiformes, Cyprinodontidae.
CCAGUGUUUUUCUUUGUGUGUUGAUUCCAGUGAAGCAAUUCAGUUGGAGCUGAACGGGAUAAAGGACCUGAUACAUAAAAAUGUCUGAGAACUCAUCAUUCCAUGACCAACAAAGCUGUGGCGAUUCUAUAAAUCAAGAGUUAAUCGCGAUGGCGGCGUUCCUCCCAGUCAAGCCACUCUGAUGUUUUCACCUACAAUUCUGCCACAUUGCAAGUCCUUUAUGGAUUGUCAGCCAUCAUUUACAUAAGUGGCCAUUAUAGUGGUUUAUUAAAAAUGAAAUUAGUGGGGAAUCAUGCAGUAAACAUUCUUAUUCCUGGAGAAAUUAAUCUUCACAUCUUGACGUGUAUGGAUCAGUACCUGGCUGUUGUUCAUCCCAUCUUCUACAUAAGGUCAAAGCAGCCUAGUGGGAUCAGGAUCAGAAAUGCACUUAUUGUCUGUGUUUGGCUGAUUUGUUUUGGAUGGGUUGGACUAUUGUAUUUUAUGUACCCCAGUGUACCUUACGCUGCAUAUUUCAGUUUAUUGGCUUUCUCUGUAAUAAGUGUUUCUUUCUGCAGCAUCUCUGUUCUUUGUGUUUUGAUUCAACCAGGACCAGGUAAAGGGGGGGUGGAA